This 1210-nucleotide ribosomal RNA is filed under the name metagenome. Its description in RNAcentral is "bacterial SSU rRNA". It matches the Rfam family "Archaeal small subunit ribosomal RNA", at positions 234 to 1445 of the family's 1478-position model. The record is from RNAcentral.
AGUGGGUGUAGCGUACCUACUAGCCUACGACGGGUACGGGUUGUGAGAGCAAGAGCCCGGAGAUGGAUUCUGAGACACAAAUCCAGGCCCUACGGGGUGCAGCAGGCGCGAAAACUUUACAAUGCUGGAAACAGCGAUAAGGGGACCUCGAGUGCCAGGUUACAAAUCUGGCUGUCGUGAUGCCUAAAAAGCAUUGCAUAGCAAGGGCCGGGCAAGACCGGUGCCAGCCGCCGCGGUAACACCGGCGGCUCGAGUGGUAACCGUUAUUAUUGGGUCUAAAGGGUCUGUAGCCGGCCGGAUAAGUCUCUUGGGAAAUCUGGCAGCUUAACUGUCAGGCUUUCAGGAGAUACUGUCUGGCUCGAGGCCGGGAGAGGUGAGAGGUACUUCAGGGGUAGGGGUGAAAUCUUGUAAUCCUUGAAGGACCACCAGUGGCGAAGGCGUCUCACCAGAACGGACCUGACGGCAAGGGACGAAAGCUAGGGGCACGAACCGGAUUAGAUACCCGGGUAGUCCUAGCCGUAAACGAUACUCGCUAGGUGUCGGCAACGGUGCGACCGUUGUCGGUGCCGUAGGGAAGCCGUGAAGCGAGCCACCUGGGAAGUACGGCCGCAAGGCUGAAACUUAAAGGAAUUGGCGGGGGAGCACCACAACGGGUGGAGCUUGCGGUUUAAUUGGAUUCAACGCCGGAAAUCUUACCGGGACCGACAGCAAUAUGAAGGCCAGGCUGAAGACUUUGCCGGAUUAGCUGAGAGGUGGUGCAUGGCCGUCGUCAGUUCGUACUGUGAAGCAUCCUGUUAAGUCAGGCAACGAGCGAGACCCACGCCCACAGUUGCCAGCGUACUCUCCGGAGUGACGGGUACACUGUGGGGACCGCCGCUGCUAAAGCGGAGGAAGGAAUGGGCAACGGUAGGUCAGUAUGCCCCGAAUAUCCCGGGCUACACGCGAGCUACAAUGGUUGGUACAAUGGGUAUCAACCCCGAAAGGGGAUGGAAAUCUCCUAAAGCCAAUCUUAGUCCGGAUUGAGGGCUGCAACUCGCCCUCAUGAAGCUGGAAUCCGUAGUAAUCGCGUUUCAACAGAACGCGGUGAAUACGUCCCUGCUCCUUGCACACACCGCCCGUCAAACCACCCGAGUAGGGUCUGGAUGAGAGCGCUUCCUUCGGAGGCGUUCGAAUUUGGGCUUUGCAAGGGGGGUUAAGUCGUAACAAGGUA